UACGUAGGGGGCUAGCGUUGUCCGGAAUCAUUGGGCGUAAAGCGCGCGUAGGCGGCCCGGUAAGUCCGCUGUAAAAGUCCAGGGCUCAACCCUGGAACGCCGGUGGAUACUGUCGGGCUAGAGUCCGGAAGAGGCGAGUGGAAUUCCUGGUGUAGCGGUGAAAUGCGCAGAUAUCAGGAGGAACACCUAUUGCGAAGGCAGCUCGCUGGGACGUAACUGACGCUGAGACGCGAAAGCGUGGGGAGCAAACAGG
Molecule: ribosomal RNA, 253 nt
Filed under: uncultured bacterium
Lineage: Bacteria
Description: partial 16S ribosomal RNA
Rfam family: Bacterial small subunit ribosomal RNA
Source: RNAcentral